RNAcentral lists this ribosomal RNA (468 nucleotides) under uncultured bacterium. RNAcentral describes it as "partial 16S ribosomal RNA". It matches the Rfam family "Bacterial small subunit ribosomal RNA", at positions 28 to 507 of the family's 1533-position model. The record is from RNAcentral.
GACGAACGCUGGCGGCGUGCUUAACACAUGCAAGUCGAACGGAAAGGCCCUGCUUUUGUGGGGUGCUCGAGUGGCGAACGGGUGAGUAACACGUGAGUAACCUGCCCUUGACUUUGGGAUAACUUCAGGAAACUGGGGCUAAUCCCGGAUCGGAGCUCCUGCUUCAUGGUGGGGGUUGGAAAGUUUCGGCGGUUGGGGAUGGACUCGCGGCUUAUCAGCUUGUUGGUGGGGUAGUGGCUUACCAAGGCUUUGACGGGUAGCCGGCCUGAGAGGGUGACCGGCCACAUUGGGACUGAGAGACGGCCCAGACUCCUACGGGAGGCAGCAGUGGGGAAUAUUGCACAAUGGGCGGAAGCCUGAUGCAGCAACGCCGCGUGCGGGAUGACGGCCUUCGGGUUGUAAACCGCUUUCGCCUGUGACGAAGCGUGAGUGACGGUAAUGGGUAAAGAAGCACCGGCUAACUACGUG